AUGAAUCUGGAUUAUCUGAGUGGGCCUAAUGUCCUGACGCUCCUGCCUCCCUCUUCCACUUUUAAGGGUCACAAGGAUCCAAGAGUUGAAGAGGGAGACAGGAGAGUCAGGGUCAGGAUGGAGAGGAGACGUGAGAAUACCAGGAAGAUUCCUCCGGCUGUGCUGGCUCUGAAGACAGAGGAAGGGGCGGUGAGACAUGUUGCCACAGGUCCAGGUCCAUCAGCAAUUCAGCUUUCAGAAAGGAGGCCAACCCUCACAGGUUCAAGAACAGUCCCCAGUCUGUCACUCCCAGGCCUGUGACCCUGGGCAUAGGACCCAAGAAAGAGAGGUGAUACCCACCUCUCAGGAUUGCUGCCCGGAACAAAUAAAGUGAUGGGCUUUACAGAAACAGGUGAGUGGCAGGCAGAUGGCAUCCAUGCCCUCGCCCUGCCAGACACUCUGCCCACUGUCCCUCAUUCUGCUGAAAUGGCUCCCCAGGGUCCCCAGAGAUGUCUGAAUGGCCCUGCCAUCUCUGUUUUCCUGGGGCCCUGCAACACUUGUGCAACUCAUUCCUGAAAACGAAC
Molecule: long non-coding RNA, 563 nt
Filed under: Callithrix jacchus (white-tufted-ear marmoset)
Lineage: Eukaryota; Metazoa; Chordata; Mammalia; Primates; Cebidae
Description: lncRNA (ENSCJAG00000081282.1)
Source: RNAcentral